GGGGGCGUAUGGAUUCGACGGGGGUUACGAGACUCAGGUUGCAUGCCGUGGUUCCGUCACCACGAAUAAAGACGGGAAAAAACACAAACGCCAACAACGAACUGGCACUCGCUGCUUAAUUAAAGCAGCGCAUCUUUCGGGAGAUGUCUGCUAUCCCGAAAAGGUGUCGAUUAGCAGGCUGGCUUCAACACCUUUCCCUCAGGUGUUGGGCGAGACAAUAGAGGGAUAGGGCUUUGAGGAGCCUGUCUGUCGGCGACUCACAGCCUGAAAAUUAAGAAGACGGACUAUGCAUGUAGAAGCCUGGGAGCAGUACUUUCGGACGUGGGUUCGAUUCCCACCGCCUCCACCA
RNAcentral lists this transfer-messenger RNA (349 nucleotides) under Thermodesulfovibrionales. Its description in RNAcentral is "BMS3Bbin07 sp002898135 Standard tmRNA". It matches the Rfam family "transfer-messenger RNA". From Rfam's summary of the family: Bacterial tmRNA, also known as 10Sa RNA or SsrA, is named for its dual tRNA and mRNA-like properties. Its role is to liberate the mRNA from a stalled ribosome. To accomplish this part of the tmRNA is used as a reading frame that ends in a translation stop signal. RNAcentral also lists the same sequence under 1 other name. Lineage: Bacteria; Pseudomonadati; Nitrospirota; Thermodesulfovibrionia. The record is from RNAcentral.